AAAAUGCCCAGACCAGCUCUGGUCUCUUAUACAAAGCAGAAUCUCUGCCUACAAAGCAGUUUCCCACCUCUGACUCCUCCCCACGGCGAACAGCCCUUCUGGAUCCAACCAACCCACCAACCCCAAUAGGUCCCAGCACCCAGAGGGUCCACAAUCCAGAGAAGGAGCUACAAGCCCUGUACUCUCAAGCCUCGAACCCCCAACUCCAACUGACCUCCCCUCUGCCAGAGCAAGAAGACCACAAGUACCCGCCGAGAGCGGACCUGGCUGGCUACACAAAGCCAGGCACCCGACCAGAGGGACCCUCGGGGAUGUCCUCCGCCCCCGGGGCGUCCCCGCCCAGCCCCGCCCGGCGCCCCGCGCUCACCAGCUCUCCUCCCCCUCCUCCUAGCCUGACGGACGCUCCAGGUCGUCCAGCAAGCCGCCCUCCCCCGCCGCCAGCAAAAAGGUGGCGUCCCGCAGCUCCUCGUUAUUCGUCCCCCUCGGGUCCACCCGGCCCCGCCGCCCGACUUUGCGCUGAGGCCCAAGGGGAAGCCCCAAGGGGACCCCGCGCCGUAGAAGGGAGUGGAGAAGCCGGCGAACCGCCCUGCCGGGCCGAUGGAUCCCGGCCCCAGCACAGAGCGAGCGGCUCCUCAGCUGUUCGUGCUGCUUCCCCAGCUUCUUCACCGACUCCUGCAGCUUCCGCACCUCCUGGUCCGCGUUCACGUUGGAGUUAACGUCCUCCAUCCCGGCCCCGCUGCCUCCGCCGCCCGCGGCCCUCUCGCUCUCGCAGCAACAAGGAAAGAGCCGGAGGAAAGAGGCCUCCACGCCGCUCACUCCAGCCGAGGCCCCCGCAUAUAGCAGGGCCAGGCCCCGUCGCCAGGGUUCCCCCAGCGCGGGUUCCGAAGCGCCGCUGGCCACAGAUGAACCACCUCCUCAGCACCCGUCCGGGAUUCGGGGAGGCAGCGCCAAUAUCCGGUCUCUGCCGCCAUCUUCCCUCCGUCCCUCCGCCCACCGAGGGUCUGCCCUGUAGGUGACCUCAGAGCGUCGGGGGUGGGCGUGGCCCCGGCGGGCGCUAAGAAGACCUGGCGCAGAGAGGACCGCCGAGCUUCCUACAGGGCGGGGCCAGGUGUGUGAGGGGCGGGGAUUGGACCCGAAGGGGCGUGUCUGGACUGCUGGCAGAAGUGGAACGCGGCCUGACCUGCGAUGGAAAGCCCCUGCAGGCCCGGAGGCGAGCAGAAGGCAUGCCGCGAGCCGGGCUGAGGUGGUGAACACGGUCCUCGUUCACCCCGCCUAUUGGUCUGGGCGUGUGGGGUGUUCUCCACCCCCUUAUACGGCGUGUGGGACCCACGGGCCAGUCCCGCCCGGCUCCGGGCCGGAUCUCGAGUGGGCGCUCAAUGGGGUCCGGGGAGAGAUAGUUUACUUUGUUCAGCAAAUAUUUAACCGAUGCCUAUUUUAAUGGGAGAUUGUCUCCGCUGGCGGGAGCCUCAGAGGCCGCCUAUGUCCUGUAAGAAACCCGAAUUUCAGACAGUUAAGAGAGGUCUAAGGUCAAAAUAAUAAUCAUAAUUUCUUCCUACUGGCCAGAUACUAUGCUAAGCCAUUUUUUAUUUUAUUAUUAUUAUUUUUUGUCACCGAGGCUGGAGUGCAAUGGCCCGAUCUUGGCUCACUGCAACCUCCGCCUCCCGGUUUAAAGCGAUUCUCCUGCCUCAGCCUCCUGAGUAACUGGGAUUACAGGCGGGCGCCACCACGCCCCGCUGAUUUUUGUAUUUUACUAGAGACGGGGUUUCGCCAUUUUGGCCAGGCUGGUCUCGACGCUGACCUCAGGGUGAUCCGCUCACCUCAGCCACUUGAAGUGCUGGGAUUACUGGCAUCAGCCACCGCGCGCCCGGCCGUGCUAAUCACUUUGAAAGGCAUUAUCUCAUCGGUUAAAACAUAGUUUUCCUGACGUAAAAGUUUACAGCACACUGGCGCAGAAGAUGGAAAACCGCUGCUUGCCUUUCUCCGUUUAUUGACUCACAUUCUGCUCUUUGGAUCAUUUUCUUCGGGAAAAGUUUUCCGAAGUGUGUCUUGACUUUAAGUUGUGUAUUAAAAGUACUUGAACACGCUGACAGAUACUGAAGAAUGCAGAAAAUUGUAUGAGUGUGAAAAUCUGCCUUUAUGAUGUGUAUUAGUGGCAGCAAAUCCAAACAAAACUUAAGUGCUUUGUUUUGAUGACAUUCAUUGGGCUUCAGAUGUCAAUUGUGCACUGCUUUGGCUUGUGUUUGCAGCCACAAACACAAGUGGAGUUAUUAACGCCACUUACUAAACACAAGUGGAAGUUAUUAAGAGUGGAGUUUCCCUCCUCCAAACAGUGAUCCAGUUCUUUUAUUUAUUUAUUUAUUUAUUUAUUUUUGAGAUGGAGUCUCGCUCUUUGGCCCAGGCUGGAGUGCAGUGGCGCGAUCUCGGCUCACUGCAAGCUCCGCCUCCCGAGUUCAGGCCAUUCUCCUGCCUCAGCCUCCCGCGUAGCUGGGACAACAGGCGCCCGCCACCGCGCCCAGCUAAUUUUUUGUUUUUGGUAGAGACGGUGUUUCACCAUGUUAGCCAGGAUGGUCUCGAUCUCCUGACUUCAUGAUCCGCCCGCCUCGGCCUCUCAAAGUGCUGGGAUUACAGGCGUGAGCCACCGUGCCUGGCCAGUGAUCCAGUUCUAUUACACCUGGGUGUGGACUCAUGCCACGACUGAUUUGCUUCUACCCUUUAGCUUUUCUAGUGCCUUAGUUUCCUUGCCUAGAAUAUCCUGCCUGCCAUAGCUGAUUCCUUUUCUUAAAACCCGUACUCGCUCAUUCAUUCAGGAAACCUCUUCCUGAAAAUUCCACAAAAAUCUAAUUAUUCUUUGUAUUUUAGCAUUACCCGAGCCAUAGUUUUCAAUAGGUGUUUGCACUUUUUAAAAAAAUUUUCAUUAUUUUCUAUUAUUUUGUUUUUGUCUGUUUACUUGAUUUAAAGACACCAUUUUUGUUUACCAUGUCUAGUACACUGACACAGUGGACACUCAAUACUUGGUUUGUUGAAAGUUAAGUAGAAUGUAAGUUCUUACAGGCCAAAGACCAGGUAGAUGUUUAUUCAUAGCAAAAAAACGUAUUGUGUUAAAAGUUUGCUGGCUAACUGUCAGUCGAGUAUUUUCCUAGCUAUACAGACCUAGUCAAAGUGAGAGGUGAUAGCGUGCUGGCAGUCCUCACAGCCCUCGCUCGCUCUUGGCGCCUCCUCUGCCUGGGCUCCCACUUUGGCCGGCUUGAGGAGCCCUUCACCCCGACGCUGCACUGUGGGAGCUCCUUUCUGGGUUGGCCAAGGCCGGAGCCGGCUCCCUCAGCUUGCGGGGAGGUGUGGAGGGGGAGGCACGGGCGGGAACCGGGGCUGCACGCAGUGCUUGCGGGCCAGCGCGAGUUCCGGGUGGGUGUGGGCUCGGCGGGCCAGCACUCAGAGGGCCCUGCCGGCCCGGCCGGCCCCGGGCAAUGAGGGGCUUAGCACCCAGGCCAGCGGCUGCAGAGGGUGUGCUGGGUCCCCCAGUAAUGCCGGCCCACCAGCGCUGCGCUCCAUUUCUGGCGGGCCUUAGGUGCCUCCCCGCGGAGCAGGGCUCGGGACCUGCAGCCCUUCAUGCCUGAGCCUUCCCCUGCCCCCGCUCCUGUGCGGCCCAAGCCUCCCCUACGAGCACCACCCCCUGCUUCACGGCGCCCAGUCCCAUCGACCACCCAAGGGCUGAGGAAUGCGGGCGCACUGCGUGGGACUGGCAGGCAGCUCCACCUGCAGCCCCUGUGCGGGAUCCACUGGGUGAAGCCAGCUGGGCUCCUGAGUCUGGUGGGGACUUGGAGAACCUUUAUGUCUAGCUAACGGAUUGUAAACACACCAAUCGGCACUGUGUAUCUAGCUCAAGGUUUGUAAACACACCAAUCAGCACCCUGUUUCUAGCUCAGGGUUUGUGAAUGCACCAACCCACACUCUGUAUCUAGCCACUCUGGUGGGGACUUGGAGAACCUUUGUGUGGACACUCUGUAUCUAGCUAAUCUAGUGGGGACGUGGAGAACCUUUGUGUCUAGCUCAGCGAUUGUAAACGCACCAAUCAGCUCCCGGUCAAAACAGACCACUUGGCUAUCUGUAAAAUGGACCAAUCAGCAGGAUGUGGGUGGGGCCAGAGAAGAGAAUAAAAGUGGGCUGCCCGAGCUAGCAGUGGCAACGCGUUGGGGUCCCCUUCCACACUGUAGAAGCUUUGUUCUUUUGCUCUUUGCAGUAAAUCUUGCUGCUGCUC
This 4255-nucleotide non-coding RNA is filed under the name Pongo abelii (Sumatran orangutan). The record is from RNAcentral. Lineage: Eukaryota; Metazoa; Chordata; Mammalia; Primates; Hominidae.